RNAcentral lists this ribosomal RNA (468 nucleotides) under uncultured bacterium. RNAcentral's name for it is "partial 16S ribosomal RNA". It matches the Rfam family "Bacterial small subunit ribosomal RNA", at positions 28 to 507 of the family's 1533-position model. The record is from RNAcentral.
GACGAACGCUGGCGGCGUGCUUAACACAUGCAAGUCGAACGAAAAGGCCCUGCUUUUGUGGGGUGCUCGAGUGGCGAACGGGUGAGUAACACGUGAGUAACCUGCCCUUGUCUUUGGGAUAACUUCAGGAAACUGGGGCUAAUACCGGAUAGGAGCUCCUGCUGCACGGUGGGGGUUGGAAAGUUUGGGCGGUUGGGGCUGGACUCGCGGCUUAUCAGCUUGUUGGUGGGGUAGUGGAUUACCAAGGCUUUGACGGGUAGCCGGCCUGAGAGGGUGGCCGGCCACAUGGGGACUGCGAUACGGCCCAGACUCCAACGGGAGGCAGCAGGGGGGAAUAUGGCACAAUGGGCGGAAGCCUGAUGCGGCAACGCUGCGUGCGGGAUGACGGCCUUCGGGUUGUAAACCGCUGUCGCCGGAGACGAAGCGGGAGUGACGGUAAUGGGUAAAGAAGCACCGGCUAACUACGUG